Molecule: long non-coding RNA, 438 nt
Organism: Oncorhynchus kisutch (coho salmon)
Lineage: Eukaryota; Metazoa; Chordata; Actinopteri; Salmoniformes; Salmonidae
Exons: 2
Source: RefSeq, a predicted model, not a curated record
GGACAUUGGCGAGUAAUAUGCUCAGAAUCGGUGGAUGGUGUGCUCGCCUUCUAAGUCUGACCAGUAGGCCGCUCCGUCUGCCUCUCCUGCGGCGACCGCGUUGUUUUGGAUCGUCCUCUGGGAUAAGAUCCCAUGUCCAGGGUGGAGGUCCGAACAAUGGAUUCACUUCGGGAAAGUUGUAUUCCUGGUUGUAAUAUUGUUACCCCUGCUCUGACUCUGGUCCCUGUCUCCAGUUCCACGUCUCGUCAUCCUGCUACUUUUUCCUGGAUUCCCCACUCUACUACUCCCUUGGAUUCCCCUCCGGACCUGCUUACCCUGUCCCAACCCCUCUCGCUCCAGCCUUAGCCUCCGCACCUGGUUUCCUGCAACCCACCCGAACUUCCCCUGGCCUGCACUCCAUCUUCCCCCUGUGUUUAAAUAAAUACCUUGGUUACUUCA